RNAcentral lists this long non-coding RNA (950 nucleotides) under Homo sapiens (human). RNAcentral describes it as "non-protein coding LINC02109:34". The record is from RNAcentral. Lineage: Eukaryota; Metazoa; Chordata; Mammalia; Primates; Hominidae.
CAGAGACAGAGGAAAGGCUGAAGGUUGAGUUGAUUACCAGUAGCUCACGAUAUAAUCAUUCAUGCCUACAUAACACAGCUUUCAUAAGAACCCAAUAGGACAGGGUUCAAGGACCCUCUAAAGAAUGCCACACCUAUAGAGGCAUGGAAACUCUUUGCCACUUUCAUCUGACUAUUGAUCUAUAUCCUUUGUAAUGCCUCUUAUAAGAAAUGGGCAGAUUCUAGCAGUGUUUGUGAGAAAAACUGAUGGAUCCUGCAGAUUAACUAUGGACAGCCAAAUAUUGAGUAAAGUGAUGUCUACAACAGCAUCAGCUAUGCCUGAUAUGGUGUUAAUUCACAUUGUGAAGUCCUCAAUAGGAAAAAGAUGCCUCCCUGGUCGACCUUCCUGGAAAGUAUGCAUAUCAUUACUGCUUAGAUUUUGUUGGAGAGAAAUCACACUACCAUCAAAGACAACGGGUCAAAAAGAAUGCCGUCCUAAGCUGAGAAGCCAUCUUCCUAACGACAGCCAUGUAAUAUGAAAGGGAAAAACACACUGUUAUUGAAGAACUUAUCAGCUAUGUCACAUCUUCCACACAAAUACUCAGGAAAGUUAAAAGAAAAUUUUACCUCGGACACAGUUGAUGUACCUCAGUCUUGUACAAAACUUAGAACUCACUAAGUCUGAAAUAAGACUUUAAACUCUCUCUGAGGAUUGCUAAAGUCCUAUUGCAUGCUUUAAGAUGCCUUGCGUUUGGUGAAUUGAAGCCUGAUAUGUCAACAUACUCUCUGUAAACACAGCAGCACAGAGGGCAAAGAAACACUUAUCCAGCACCACAGCUAGGACAAAAGGAAUUAUUUUGACAGUAAAUGGACUUGCAGCUUAAGUUAAGUGCAUUAAUAUUGGGAUGGUAUUAACUAUACAAAAUUGUUUCUAAGCAAAGGUGACCAGAUGUCCUAAUUUGACUGAUUGAU